Gossypium arboreum is the source of this 1651-nucleotide long non-coding RNA. RefSeq lists it as uncharacterized. Lineage: Eukaryota; Viridiplantae; Streptophyta; Magnoliopsida; Malvales; Malvaceae. The transcript has 8 exons. The record is from RefSeq and is a predicted model, not a curated record.
AAAACUAAAUCAGAAAAAAAAAAAAAGAACAAAGAAAAAAAAGGAAGAAGAAAGUGUUUAUUUUUGGGUUGGUAAUGGUAUUCAAAUAAAUCAAUCAAAAACUUCAACAAAGAGUCUGUGAAGGAAAUCUGCAAAUGCUGAUAAAGACCUCGCUUCUUGGGAAGAAAUCUUCAAAAUCCAGUCUCUCAAAAGGAAGACAGAAGCUGGCUCACCGGGCAUUUGGAUCCCUCAAGGGCAUUACAAGGCAGCACUUAUUUGUGGUCACUUGGUUAGAACAAAGGCUAUUGCUGUUUUAUGCUUUACAUGGGGAAUUGCUAAGUUCCCAAUACUAGCUCGUGGUCAAAAAGGUCAGGCUUGCAGAUAUUGUCAUUAUAAUUCAGGAAAAACAUCUAAGACUGCUACAGAAUACAGUGUUCUUGAUCUGCAAAUGGAGUGUUCCCUUUCACUAUCAUAAAUAUGGAUGUUUGGUUACGUACUUUCUUAGUGGCAGGCUUUGCCAAGGUCAGUCACAGCCUAGCUUGGCAUAGCCUAGCCUAGACAAUGCAAAAUGCAUAAAGUGAAGUUCCUGGAGUCCAAGUAGGGUGAAAUUUUGCCAGGCCGACUGUAUACCCAUUUCCCAGGGCUGCUUCCCCAUACAGCUGCUCCCGCAUAUCCUCCCAACCUGCCUCCAUUAUCUGGAAGCAUAUAGGUUUUCCAUAACAUUGCCCCAGUUCGUAGGGCUAGCUUUACAACGCUGCCUCUGAAAGUGCAGCAUUGCUCUGGUGGUAAUCCUUCCUCUAGAGAUGAAACUCCUACAUAGUAGGCCCUGCAAGCAAAUCAGAUCCUGUGAUCAGAACCCUGGGACGGGGAUCCAGUGUAGUAGACCAAACAAGUCUCCCAUUUGAUCGUGCAACAGCAAUCACUACCGCUGGUCCAUAUAUCCCUACAAUCAACAGGUCCCCAUCAACUGUCGGGGUCGAUCUCGAGACCGUAACAUUUACAACAACUCCAGUGCCAGAUUGUCCAGUUAACUCGCUGAGAUUCUGUCUCCAUAUUAGAGCACCGUUGAAUGCAUUCACUGCAUACAAAUAUCCAUUCCAUGAUGGGAAGUAGACUACUCCAUUUGCAACAGCUGGAGUUGCUGAUAUGUCUUUGCCAGCAAAGAAUGACCAUCUUAAUGCUAAGUUCCUGACAGUUAGCGGGUUGAGAAGUAUUUCUCCAGCAGCAUACCUUAUGUUAGGCCGAAAUUUAUGAGAUAAUGAAUAAAGAUGAUGAUACAAAAAUGAAGCUUGAGAAAAAUGAUGAAACUUACAGCCGCAUCUGCACAAUCCAUGGUUGCAAAAGAACACAUAGCCACGAGAAGAAUGACUCUGAAGCCAUUACUUGGGGGAGUCUGGGUACGUGGCAUGGCAAGGAAGCUAUUGAAUGUUAAAGUGUGACUUUUAUCAAAUUGAAAGGGUCUUUAGUUUCUUUAUUUCCUUUGUUCAAUAAAGACAAGUAUCAUGUAUAAACGUGAACCAUACCAGACAGAAGCAGUCAUUAUAAGCGUUAAAGUGACUGAAUUCCAGCUGCUUAGCUGGUAAACAGUUACACAGUGGUAAAAAAUUGUUGUUGGUUUACUUUUAUGCCUUUUUUAUAAAAAUGAUUCAAAAUUUUUGAUUAUUUACGAAAA